AGUGAACGCUGGCGGUGGGCCUAACACAUGCAAGUCGAACGGCAGCACAGUAAGAGCUUGCUCUUACGGGUGGCGAGUGGCGGACGGGUGAGGAAUACAUCGGAAUCUACUUUUUCGUGGGGGAUAACGUAGGGAAACUUACGCUAAUACCGCAUACGACCUACGGGUGAAAGCAGGGGAUCUUCGGACCUUGCGCGAUUGAAUGAGCCGAUGUCGGAUUAGCUAGUUGGCGGGGUAAAGGCCCACCAAGGCGACGAUCCGUAGCUGGUCUGAGAGGAUGAUCAGCCACACUGGAACUGAGACACGGUCCAGACUCCAACGGGAGGCAGCAGUGGGGAAUAUUGGACAAUGGGCGCAAGCCUGAUCCAGCCAUACCGCGUGGGUGAAGAAGGCCUUCGGGUUGUAAAGCCCUUUUGUUGGGAAAGAAAAGCAGCAGGUUAAUACCCCGCUGUUCUGACGGUACCCAAAGAAUAAGCACCGGCUAACUUCGUG
Molecule: ribosomal RNA, 492 nt
Filed under: uncultured bacterium
Lineage: Bacteria
Description: partial 16S ribosomal RNA
Rfam family: Bacterial small subunit ribosomal RNA
Source: RNAcentral